RNAcentral lists this long non-coding RNA (390 nucleotides) under Homo sapiens (human). RNAcentral's name for it is "non-protein coding lnc-B3GNTL1-2:1". Lineage: Eukaryota; Metazoa; Chordata; Mammalia; Primates; Hominidae. The record is from RNAcentral.
AUUAUCCUCCCAGUCCACAACGCUGAACCGUGGCUGGACGAAUGUUUGAGGACAACCUGAGGUCACUGCACUUGCAGGAGGGCCAGGACUUCCUUCACUUCAGCUGACGGACCCAUGGCAGCUGCUCCCAGUGCAUCCCAGGCCAGCAGGAGCUUUGUGAGCUGCAGGCAUGGCGAUGGUGCGCCUGUUCCACACCCAGCAGGCGCAACCAGAGUCUCGUGUGUGCCGACCACAGGAGCCAAGCCUUUUCCACUGUGUGGACUCAUGUGGCCAAGGCUAGGCCUGGUCACCCAGGACCCUCACCACGUGACCCCAGCCAAUCGGGACAGUUCAAGGAGGAGGAGACCCCUAUUACACAGGUUGGAAUAAAAUAUUUAAAUCUCGUAAAAA